GAUGAACGCUGGCGGCGUGCCUAAUACAUGCAAGUAGAACGCUGAAGGAGGAGCUUGCUCUUCUGGAUGAGUUGCGAACGGGUGAGUAACGCGUAGGUAACCUGCCUGGUAGCGGGGGAUAACUAUUGGAAACGAUAGCUAAUACCGCAUGACAACAGUUAUUGCAUGAUAACUGUUUAAAAGGGGCAACUGCUCCACUACCAGAUGGACCUGCGUUGUAUUAGCUAGUUGGUGAGGUAACGGCUCACCAAGGCGACGAUACAUAGCCGACCUGAGAGGGUGAUCGGCCACACUGGGACUGAGACACGGCCCAGACUCCUACGGGAGGCAGCAGUAGGGAAUCUUCGGCAAUGGACGGAAGUCUGACCGGGCAACGCCGCGGGAGUGAAGAAGGUUGUCGGAUCGUAAAGCUCUGUUGUAAGAGAAGAACGAGUGUGAGAGUGGAAAGUUCACACUGUGACGGUAUCUUACCAGAAAGGGACGGCUAACUACGUG
Molecule: ribosomal RNA, 495 nt
Filed under: uncultured bacterium
Lineage: Bacteria
Description: partial 16S ribosomal RNA
Rfam family: Bacterial small subunit ribosomal RNA
Source: RNAcentral